GGAGGCAGAGUGAAACUAACAACUUUUUUGCUCACGGAGAACUGGAGAACUGCAUGGGACGGGAAACUGCAUCGGAAGUUGGAAGCAGCAAGGAAAACGCUGGACACUGCUUCCAGAGCGGCCUUCCCACAGUCGGCAGUUGCCUGAUGUAAUCCUGAAGUUGGAGGGUGUGAUCUGUGACAAAUGGACCUGAGUCAAGGACAAGAUUUCCUUCAUGAAUAGACUUUAUCCAGUUAGUCACAGAGGAAGUAAAUAUGAAGGGGUCAUAUCAGAGUUUAUCUUCAGUGCAUCCAAGGGCAGACUUCCUGUGACCACCUCACCCCAACCAGAUGUAACAAAUUACCAGCUAACCACUUUAGGACCACUCACUCACUGCUCUGAAUGCAGAAGGAUAAUGUCUGUCACACAGGGAAGGAUUGACCUCAAAGGAAG
RNAcentral lists this long non-coding RNA (432 nucleotides) under Heterocephalus glaber (naked mole-rat). Its description in RNAcentral is "lncRNA (ENSHGLG00000046339.1)". The record is from RNAcentral. Lineage: Eukaryota; Metazoa; Chordata; Mammalia; Rodentia; Bathyergidae.